AUGGAAACAAAUUCUCUGAAGUUUAUUUUGAUGACAAUUUUCAUCUUUGCCAUGGCUCUUUCUCCAACUUUACCAUGUGAUGCUGCACGCGAUUUAGUAGCAGUUAAUAAGGUGAUAUGUAUUCAGUGUGUGUGUUGCACUCCACCACCACCAGGAACUUGCUGCAAGAAGUGUUGUGCUUCUUCUUCUCCACCUCAAACUCAGACCAUUGGACAAUCUCCAUAA
RNAcentral lists this long non-coding RNA (225 nucleotides) under Vicia faba (fava bean). Lineage: Eukaryota; Viridiplantae; Streptophyta; Magnoliopsida; Fabales; Fabaceae. The record is from RNAcentral.